Cervus elaphus (red deer) is the source of this 3767-nucleotide long non-coding RNA. RefSeq lists it as uncharacterized. Lineage: Eukaryota; Metazoa; Chordata; Mammalia; Artiodactyla; Cervidae. The transcript is spliced from 2 exons. The record is from RefSeq and is a predicted model, not a curated record.
CUGUCCAAGGGACAGAGUCUUCUCCAACACCACAGUCAAAAGCAUCAACUGUGAGAGUUGGACCAUAAGGAAGGCUGAAUGCCAAAGAAUUGAUGCUGUUGAAUUGUUGUGUUAUUGGCCAUACUAUUUGCAAAUAUUUCCUCCCAUUCAGUAGGUUGUUUUCGUUUAUGGUUUCCUUUGCUAUGCAAAAGCUUUUAAGUUUAAUUAGGUCCUAUUUGUUUAUUUUUGGUUUAUUUCCUUUGCUUUAGGAGACAGAUUCAAAAACAUACUGAUAGAUUUCUUUUCAUAGGUGGUAACAGUUUCACCAAAAAAAAAAUUAUUUACCAAAUAGCUACCAAAAAAUAAUAAAUAUAUGUUAAAUUGUGUUUAGCAUUUAUAAAGUGGUUGAUACAAUAGUGUAUGAUUUCCUGAGUCAAAAUAAGCAUGGCAUUUUAAAGCAUGGUGUUUGAGAGGUAUUUACUUACUUUGAGUAUUUGGGACUAUUUGAGGCAAAGAUAUGCCCACCAGCAUUUCAUAUGAAAAAGAGAAACAAUUCAAACCGUAAAGCUGAAGUAGAGCCAAAAUGAGCAAGAAACAGAGGAAAGACUACACAGAGGAGGAAAAACACCAAAGAAAAGAUCUUCUUUGUGAAGAAAUUGUCUCACAUGGUUCUAAUCCAGAAAUCAGAAUCAUCAGCCAGAUUAACAGGUAAAAUAACCAUACUUAACCCAUAAUUAAUAAAUGUCAUAUUUAAGAUUCAGACUAUAUAAGCCAAGUAGUAGUGAGAAUAUUGGGAUAAAUCAGUGAUACAUUAGGAAGGAUGGUAUACUUUCUUCUUUUACCUUUGCUUAUUUAAUUUGGCAUUACUUAUUUAUGAAAGCUAACCAGAUUAUUUACUUUAUAUCACAAUAAUACUGAUUUGAAGGUUUUGCAUAGUGUCAAUCUAAAGUUUUAAAACAUUAGUUUUAAUUGCCGUCAUUGUCAAGAAACAGUGAUUUUAGGUGAUUCUCUUUAACUUUCCAAGUAAUGUGUCAGGAUAUAGAGAAAAUUAUUCUUUGCAUUCCUGAUAAAGUGCUAUUUUUUUAUCAUAUAUGCAUAUAUUUUAUAUCUGUAAAUGUGUGUGCAUGUGUGUCCUACAAAUGUAUAGGACACUAAAGUAUCUAAUCCCAUUCUCCCUAGAAGGCAGGAACUAACUGACCACAAGCCAAAUAUAUCGUGUUAUGUUCAUAGUCAUUCAACCAGUAUAUUAACAUAGUAUUUUAAACCAAGAUAAUUAGCUUUUCUUUAUAGAAAUUCAUGAAAGUUCACAUAUAAAAUUCUUCGUAUACUCAAAAACACACAAACUCAUCUAUGUGAAUAGAUGAGUUUAUUCUGUGAGGCAGCAGGGUCCUGGGGCUGGAGACUGGAAACGCUUGGUUCUACCACCUACCGACCCUGAGCACGCUGCUUAAUCCCUGCUUGUCAUGCUGUGAACUUUAAAUAAAGUAAUGCACAUAAAAUACCCAGCAGUGCUUCUGUCGUUUGACAAGCCCUGGGUAACCAUCUGCAGGAGUCUGGAGGUCCUCUGAUGACUUUGUGGCAUGAUAAAGUCAGUUAUUACUGUGGAAGUUAUCACUAUGGAGAUGGCGUUGGCAAGGCUGCAGCUAACUGGAAGGAGCAAGACUUGAAUCAAGGAAGCCAGAUAGAGGCUGCUGCAGUAAUCCAGGCAAGAAAUGCCAUUGAACCAUACGGCAGCAGGCAGUGGGAAACAAGAAGCAAGAAACACUAGAGAUACUCUGUGUAAUAUGUACACCGAGAUCACCACUGGGCUACGGGAGUUGGAGAGAUACACAUAGGUUCCAGGCCUGGAUGGCAUUCUGUUAAGGCAGGGUAUAGAAAAAGGGUGAGUUCCCAAAUCUCAAGCACCUGCACACGUCAAAAGAGGAAGUGCCUGACAAGCGGUCCCCUAGAACUCAGGAAAGGCUGGACCGCGGCCACACCACUCAGCAGCCCAGGGAACAGUCAGUGUCGAGGAAGCAGAUAACACACUUGCUUUUACCUUCUUUUUCAGUCAAAGGUCUGGUCUCCCCCAGGCCAGGGUACAUCAUCAGAUGCAGCUCUGAACAUUGAAGGGAAACCACACUGAAGUUUUUGACCUUGAAGUUCAUCGCAGUUUGCUGCAGAUGGCGAAUGUCUCAGAGCUAGCUGUUUUCUGAGUGAUCCGAGUAAAACCGCGGACACGGGUCCCUGGCGCCACAUUUCGCAUCACAUGUUGCACAGCUGCCAGCAAGAGGCCCUUCCUUUGGCUCUUGGGGACUUCAUUUCCCUUGGGAACCAUUGUGGUUAUUCAACUUGAAGACCUUGUAGGAAGAAUCAGUUAUUUCUCUCUGGGGUCUUACUCAGAGCAAGCAACACGGAAGUAAAUAGUCACUAAGGAGGAACAAGGAGAAAUAAGCAUUUAGCCAAAUUGAUGAACAAUUCAUGUUAUUAUUAAAAAAAAAAAAAAAAAAACACCACUGGCCAGUUUCACAAAAGUUUUAACUAGGAAUUGUACUACUACCCUGCUGUCUCCUGUUCAUCAUAAUAUAUAUGAGAAUUCAUCUCUGUGUCACCCUCACCUCUUUUGCUGUUCCCAGCACAGAGGUGCACUGCAUUACAUGCUAAUGCCUCCAUGUAGAGGUUGAGUAAAGACUGUUUCCAGCAGAGAGAACACCAGACUAGGAAACAACAACUGGGGUUGCCCCAGUACUGCCAGUGCCUGAUGCUGUGAUCUUCUUUGUAAAGAAUGGAGAUCCAACAUUGUAUUCUGUUAAGAACUCCGGCGACGGGACACCAAGAUCAGACCUUGAUUUGUCAGGGUGUCACCAUCAAAGCUGAACCAGAAAGCAGCUCCGUGAGCCUGUGCUCGUCCGGUCUUGUCAUGCACCCAGCAGUCUUCAUGCCAGUGAGACAACCGACACGCACCAUCACAGGAGACACUGGGUACAUGUAAAUCUAAGUAUUUAGCAAAACUAGAUUUCAAACGACACUUUAAAAUGUAUUGCAAAAUGUACAGCAUUUAUUCACAUACAGACAAAAAGGCACAAAUUCUACUAAAUAGUUCAACAAAAAAAUACAGCUGUCCUCAACUAGUUUUAUAAAUACUUUCAAAAAGGGGGUAGAAAUAAAUACAGGAUUGGGCCAUGUAAUAUAAAAUAGUCAUCUCUACAUAUACUUUUUGUUUAAUUCUGAUUUUUAACUCUUCAUGCACCUUUUUUUUUUUACCCAAUUUUAGCUGAAUGGACACCAAGCUAGGCACAUAGUGAAAAAUCCUCUGUACAAGGUUACAAAUGUAAUGACAAGUUUGUCCAUUUCAAAAUAAUUAAGAUUUGUACACAACACAUAUAACCCUUCAUUUAGAUUUUGUGUUUAUAACCUAACAAAUGACAUUCCAGGCAACUUUACAAAAGUUUAACUAGCCUACAUUUUUGACAUAAUACAUUGAUCAUAAUCAAAGAUAUUUCUUGGUCAGGAUGCACACGGAAAGAUAAAGCUUUAAAAAAAGAAGAAAAGAAGAGCAAAUGGUUCCAUACUCAGAGUGCAAGUGGGCAGAUUGGGUUGGUUGCCGCUCAUACACCUCAGAGUUCCCAGCAGGACGUGAAACUGACUUACAGAGCUGUCAUUACACUGUCAGAGAAACUGUACCAUUUGCAUUUCGAAGCAGGAAUUAAAAGUGUGGGCUUUUUGUGUUUGUGUGUUUUGUUUUUGUGUGGGGUUUAUUUUUGUUUUGUUUUCUUUUUGGUUCAGCAUAACUUGGAACGUUUGAAAGC